AUGCUGUGGCAGACUCAGCUCCUCUGGCUCCUCGUGCACUGGGCAAAGGGCUCCAGCGGGGACAUUCUUGUAACCCAGACUCCAGAGUUCCUGGUGGUGUCUGCAGGAGACACAGUCACCAUUGAGUGCAAAACCAGCUCCAAUGUUAGCACCCACAUGGACCUCUUCCAGCAGAAACCAGGGCAAGCUCCUAAGAUCUUUGUCUACAACACAAACAGCCGCCCCUCCGGGAUCCCCGACCGGUUCAGUGGCAGUGGCUCUGGCACUGACUUCACUUUCACCAUCAGCCACAUAGAAGCCAAUGAUGCCGGAGAUUAUUACUGCAUGCAGAAUACCUAG
This is a non-coding RNA of Alligator sinensis (Chinese alligator), 339 nucleotides long. NCBI's taxonomy places the organism in Eukaryota, Metazoa, Chordata, Crocodylia, Alligatoridae. The record is from the annotation of a RefSeq genome assembly.